This 496-nucleotide ribosomal RNA is filed under the name uncultured bacterium. RNAcentral's name for it is "partial 16S ribosomal RNA". It matches the Rfam family "Bacterial small subunit ribosomal RNA", at positions 28 to 506 of the family's 1533-position model. The record is from RNAcentral.
GAUGAACGCUGGCGGCGUGCCUAAUACAUGCAAGUCGAGCGAACGGACGAGAAGCUUGCUUUUCUGAUGUUAGCGGCGGACGGGUGAGUAACACGUGGAUAACCUACCUAUAAGACUGGGAUAACUUCGGGAAACCGGAGCUAAUACCGGAUAAUAUUUUGAACCGCAUGGUUCAAAAGUGAAAGACGGUCUUGCUGUCACUUAUAGAUGGAUCCGCGCUGCAUUAGCUAGUUGGUAAGGUAACGGCUUACCAAGGCAACGAUGCAUAGCCGACCUGAGGGGGGGACGCACAACCAUGGAAAUGGACACGGUGCCAGGACCCCCAGGGGGGGACAAGGGGGGAAUAUACGGAAAGGGGCGAAACCCUGGAGGAAAAAGGCCGGGUGGGUGAGGAAGGCCUGUGGGCCGAAAACCCUUUUUAUUAGGGAAGAAAAUAUUGGAAAGUCAAGGUACCAACUAUGACGGACCCCAAGAAGAAAGCCAGGGCGAACUGGGU